This 574-nucleotide ribosomal RNA is filed under the name uncultured bacterium. Its description in RNAcentral is "partial 16S ribosomal RNA". It matches the Rfam family "Bacterial small subunit ribosomal RNA", at positions 355 to 920 of the family's 1533-position model. The record is from RNAcentral.
UGGGGAAUUUUGGACAAUGGGCGAAAGCCUGAUCCAGCGAUGCCGCGUGUGUGAAGAAGGCCUUCGGGUUGUAAAGCACUUUUGUCCGGAAAGAAAUCCUUGGCUCUAAUACAGUCGGGGGAUGACGGUACCGGAAGAAUAAGCACCGGCUAACUACGUGCCAGCAGCCGCGGUAAUACGUAGGGUGCAAGCGUUAAUCGGAAUUACUGGGCGUAAAGCGUGCGCAGGCGGUUUGCUAAGACCGAUGUGAAAUCCCCGGGCUCAACCUGGGAACUGCAUUGGUGACUGGCAGGCUAGAGUAUGGCAGAGGGGGGUAGAAUUCCACGUGUAGCAGUGAAAUGCGUAGAGAUGUGGAGGAAUACCGAUGGCGAAGGCAGCCCCCUGGGCCAAUACUGACGCUCAUGCACGAAAGCGUGGGGAGCAAACAGGAUUAGAUACCCUGGUAGUCCACGCCCUAAAACGAUGUCAACUAGUUGUUGGGGAUUCAUUUCCUUAGUAACGUAGCUAACGCGUGAAGUUGACCGCCUGGGGGAGUACGGUCGCAAGAUUAAAACUCAAAGGAAUUGACGGGGUC